UAGUCAUAUGCUUGCGUCAAAGAUUAAGCCAUGCAUGUCUAAGUACAGGUUGCAUAACCGAAACUGCGGAUGGCUCAUUAUAACAGUUAUUAUUGAAAUAGUGGAUAAAAGUUGAAAAGGAGCAAGAAUCCUUGAAACGAAUACAAUGGAUAACCCUGCUAAUCGUAGAGCUAAUACAUAAAAGCGAGCACUCGAAGGUUGGAGGUCGUCUUGAGCUGGCAUGACUGGGGAGCACAAAGCCCAAACUUCGGCAACCCAAAGCCCAUGUUUGAUGCAAUUAAAAAGAUCAAAUGGGGGAUGGAUUCUCAGCCAUGAUAACCAGGUGUAAAGAAGACCCAAGUCCAUAGAGUCGCGUUUGUCAGCAAAGCGAAUAACAAGGGGAAGAAGGGGAAUUGGGAUUUGAGAGUCAAAUCUUGAGUUUCAAAUUCCUUUCUUUCAAAAGAGGAGACGAAGACAUGCAUUGAGGAGUACAAGUUAAAAAAAACAUCUGAGAUGCAUGAGGAUAAAAACGGACAGCUGGAUGAGGGACCUCCUGGGGGAAGAGAAAGAAAACAAAAAGCUAAUUGCUGUGAUCUUCGGGUCAAACUUGAGGGGUAAUGGCAGAAUAACUAAAGCCCAAGGGGAACCACAGCUGAGCAAUAUAGAAGUCUCCAAGUGAAAUAGGACAAAAGAGCAAAUUGUCAUAAAAGAUGGGGGGUCAAACCCUCAGACAAUGCACUAAAGAAAUUUCUGACCUAUCAACUAGAUGGUAGGAUAGGGGCCUACCAUGGUGGUCACGGGUGACGAGGAAUUAGGGUUCGAUUUCGGAGAGGUGGCCUGGGAAAUGGCGACCACUUCCAAGGAAGGCAGCAGGCGCGUAAAUUACUCGGUGCUAAUACAGCGAGGUAGUGACGACAAAUACCAAUGCUUUACCACCCUUUACCGGGUGGGAGCAAUUGGAAUGGGCACAAUGUAAAGAGGUGUGCGAGUAACGAUUGGAGGGAAAGUCUGGUGCCAGCAGCCGCGGUAAUUCCAGCUCCAAGAGUGUAUACUAAAGUUGUUGCGGUUAAAAAGCUCGUAGUCAAUGUUGGGGACUUUAAUUGAAGAUCUGUCUCUCACGAGAUUGGUUUUUGAUUGUUAAUGUCAAAAUGAUAUUAAGAUGGUCAUUUAAAGAAGUGAUUGGAUUGAAAUGAAGGAAAAGGGGAGGAGUCAAAUCCUUUUCUUUUUUUUCAAAUUGAUUAAUCAUUUCGAAAUGAUGGCUGUCAGGUCUCAUUUGAGUUUGGAUUAGUUAUUACACUUCUUAAAUGAAGAUUUUGUAAUUAUAACCUCUUUUUGUGUGUUUUUGAAAGAAGAUACACAGACAGAGAGGGAAACUACCAAAUCAAUUACUUUGAAUAAAAUAAAAUGUUCAAAGCAGGUCAGUGAUGGCCGGAAUAAAUUAGCAUAGGAUAAUAAGAAAACAAAACGAGAGGAGAGAGUGGUACACCAAAUAAAACAACAGAGCCUGAGUUUACUGAUUGGUUUCUCAGGGAUGCUUUUCUGGAUGACAACUUGAGCCAGGAAAAUGAGAAAAAUGAUACAACCUGGUUUGAGCAUCUUGAAGAGAACAGUGGUCUACGAAAUAAAUAGAAGAUUACAGAAUGUUGUUUUAGAUACACUCUCAAACUCUUGAGUAACAAGUGUGUAUUAGGAACAGUUGGGGUGGUUUAUAUUUAAUAGCGAGAGGUGAAAUUCUAUGACCUAUUCAAGAUAAACUAAAGCGAAAGCAUUCCACGAGGAUGUUUUCAUUGAUCAAGAACGAAAGUUAGGGGAUCGAAGACGAUCAGAUACCGUCGUAGUCCUGACUAUAAACUAUGCCGACCAGGGAUUGAAGAUAGUCGUAAAGAAGGGAAGGAUAGGAAGGGGGAUUAAUUUUCCCUUUCUUGUUCAUCUCUUUCAAACAAAAGAUUAUUGGACUGCUUCAGCACCUCAGAGAGAAAUCAAAGAGUGUUUGGGCUUCGGGGGAAGUAUGGUCGCAAGGCUGAAACUUAAAGGAAUUGACGGAAGGGCACUACCAGGAGUGGAGCCUGCGGCUCAAUUUGACUCAACACGGGGAAACUUACCAGGUCCAGACAGUAGGAGGAUAGACAGAUUGAGAGCUCUUUCUUGAUUUGCUGGGUGGUGGUGCAUGGCCGUUCUUAGUUGGUGGUGUGAAUUGUCUGGUCAAUUCCGAUAACGAACGAGACCUUAACUUGAUAAAUAAGUUUAAUCAAAGUGCAAGAGGGGAUCACAGUCAAAUGUGAGCUCUCUUUUGCAUUCGAUCCAAGAAACUCGGAGUGAUGAAAUAAGGCAUUCCGAGUGUAAACUUCUUAAAGGGACUAUUUGCGUUUUAAAACCAGCGAAUGGAAGUUUGAGGCAAUAACAGGUCUGUGAUGCCCUUUGAUGUCCUGGGCUGCACGCGCGCUACAAUGAUUGAAACAGAGAGUUUUUAAUGGUUGCCUUUGCUUGGUUGGGGCCUCACGGUCUCGAUCAGGCAGAGAGCCAUUCCAAAGUCGAAAGACUUGAGGGAACCUUAAGAAAGUCAAUCAUGAUUGGGAUAGAUCAUUGCAAUUAUUGGUCUUGAACGAGGAAUUCCUCGUAAGUAUGAGUCAACAGCUCAUGCUGAAUACGUCCCUGCCCUUUGUUCACACCGCCCGUCGCUCUUACCGAUUGGAUGAUCCGGUGAAAAUUCUGGAUGCUUUGCAAUGUCAAAGUUGUGAGGCAGAAAUUAUUUAAACCUUAUUAUCUAGAGGAAGGAGAAGUCGUAACAAGGUAUCC
This 2775-nucleotide ribosomal RNA is filed under the name Mastigamoeba guttula. Its description in RNAcentral is "partial small subunit ribosomal RNA". It matches the Rfam family "Eukaryotic small subunit ribosomal RNA". The record is from RNAcentral. Lineage: Eukaryota; Evosea; Mastigamoebida; Mastigamoebidae.